This 580-nucleotide long non-coding RNA is filed under the name Drosophila melanogaster (fruit fly). RNAcentral's name for it is "long non-coding RNA:CR45605 (Dmel_CR45605)". Lineage: Eukaryota; Metazoa; Arthropoda; Insecta; Diptera; Drosophilidae. The record is from RNAcentral.
UCCAAAUUUCAUUGCCCCCAUUCCCAUCACAUUCCUCACGAGACUCGCCAUCCGCUCGAGAGUCUUCUCGUUGUGUGUAUCCAAUGGUGUCGCUUAAGUCAUCAAGUCCAGCCAGAUAAGGUGCUCCGAAUCGGAACCAAUUGAGCGAGUGGCGAACGGGACAAAGGGAGCACAUUUCCAUGGGCCAGGACAUGGGUUCAGGACAUUGGGCAUACAUCCACAUGGCCAGUCAGUCAGACAACCAGUCAGCCCGACAGCUUAACUCGGUUGACAUUUAUCUGGCUUUUGCAUUUGUGCAUUGCUGUUGCCAUAGCGCCACGCCCACCCACAAUCGGAAUGGGCGUCCCAUUGAUGACGCUGGCGACUUUCAUUCACAAAACUGCAGCAUUUCAAGGCAGGAACGGAGUGGCAAACGUCAGCAGUGAAUGGAAGAGACAGCCAUGCAACCACCCCCUUUUGCUCCUCGAUGAAAAUGUGGAAAAUUGUGCAGACCCCUCGGCUCUCCAUCUUCUUUGGAUGUCCUUCGUCGUGGAUGUGGAUGUGAAUGUGAAUGUGAAUGUGGAUGCAGAUGUGGAUGUGG